RNAcentral lists this long non-coding RNA (1654 nucleotides) under Ananas comosus (pineapple). RNAcentral describes it as "long non-coding RNA (ACOM_LNC018299)". Lineage: Eukaryota; Viridiplantae; Streptophyta; Magnoliopsida; Poales; Bromeliaceae. The record is from RNAcentral.
UGUCGGGAUACGGAACGGCUACGAUUAGUGACCCUCGAAGUUUGCGCCCUUCGACUGGAUCAAGCGAUUCGGCUGAUGAGGGAUCGGAUCAGCUGAGUUCAAAAGACUUUUUACUGUUGACUCGAUUCGGCUGUCAGAACCGAUCGUACGAAAAACACAGGGUUCUGAGUCGGCUGAUGAGCCGAAUGCCUUUAUAUAUUGGAGUUAACUUGUAAAAACAGUAUAAGGGACGAGUGUGCCUGAGGGCAUACAGACUCGGUUGAUCUACCUUAAAUCUACUCCUAGAAAAACGGUAAAUGCGAGAAAGUAAAAGAUUACAAGUAGGCUACUAGAAAAUACGAGGAAAUUGUAGAGGAAUAAAGGUGGUCUUCUAUUCUCGGGGAAAAGACCUCUUUUCUGGGCGUUAUUUGCCUAUUUAUAGAUCGGCCCUGUUGAUCCGUUUUUCCCCAUCCAUGAUCGGCCACUACUCCUAUUUUUUCGGGCCAUUUCCAGCCGAUCGAAACCGCUCGCAAUUACUGUAACAUCCCUCAAUUAUACCCGGCAGGUACUCAAUAUUCUUAUUGAUGCUUCCGGUGCACAUCAAAAUCUUAUUUAAUCUUUGCUUUUUAAAUAUUAGGGUUGAGUGGAGCACCAGCGUACCACCUGGCUGCACGUUAUUGGCCCAACAAAAAGGAUUAAAGUCUAGGCGAGUAUUUAAAUUAUCAUGAGGUUAAUUUAAAGUAGCAUGUAGUUAAGAACUUUAUUUGUAAAUUUAACUAUUUUUGUAUAUCACAAGGAUUGAGAUUGAUUACUUUUAGGGCAUGUUUGGUUUAUGAUUGGAAUAGGAAUGGAAAAUAAAAUUGGAUUACUUUGGAAUGGGAAUGGAAUGUCGAAUCAUCCAAAAAUGUUUGGUUCAUUAUUGGAAUGGAAAUCGGAAUGAAAAUUUAAAUUUUUUGAGAGAGGGUUUUAAUUAAAAGAGAGAAAAGUGAUGAAGGGAAAGGAGAUAGGUGUUGAUGAAAGAGAACUUUGAAUAGUUUAUUUUGGAAUGAGCCAAUCUGGAAUUCAAAGCCGGAUUGGAUUAUAAAUGGAUUUGGCCAUUUCCAUUCCGGAGUGGAAUGGAAAUCGGAAUCCGAUUUCUAUAAAAUAAACGGCAACUAUGGAAAUUAAUGAAUUUCAUUCCAAUUUCAUAGUGUAAAAUAGGUGAACCAAACAUAUCCUCAAUGUCGAAAUUAGUAUCUCCAAUUAUUAUACUUGAAAUUCAAACUGCACCAGUCGAAUGUAAUAAUAUCACAAUUGGAGGGAUGCGAACAAAACCUUCCCGUUCCAAAACCCCUUAAAACGCCCACAGUUUCGACUGGGAUCCACAAUUCUCAAGUCCACGCGGCACGAAGAAAACUGCUUGAAUCUCUCGGCUUUUGUAGUAUACUAGUGAGGUUACCACACAAUCCGGCGGAUUACUACUAUAAAAAAUAAAAAAAAUUAAUAAAAUAAUAAUUUUUAAAGUUUUUGAGUUGUAAUGAAACAUCAAUAAUAAAUAGCAUGAGAAAAAUAUAUAUAUAUAUAUUUUUUGAAAAUAAUUUAUUUAUAUUAUAAUAGAUCAUAUAAAUAAAUUAAUUAGAAAGUAAGCAAGUGAGAUGAUAAAAUAUCAGAUGGAGAUAGGAAAUGGGAAGAUGAA